Molecule: ribosomal RNA, 506 nt
Filed under: uncultured bacterium
Lineage: Bacteria
Description: partial 16S ribosomal RNA
Rfam family: Bacterial small subunit ribosomal RNA
Source: RNAcentral
AUUGAACGCUGGCGGCAGGCCUAACACAUGCAAGUCGAACGGUAACAGGAAGCAGCUUGCUGCUUCGCUGACGAGUGGCGGACGGGUGAGUAAUGUCUGGGAAACUGCCCGAUGGAGGGGGAUAACUACUGGAAACGGUAGCUAAUACCGCAUAAUGUCGCAAGACCAAAGAGGGGGACCUUCGGGCCUCUUGCCAUCGGAUGUGCCCAGAUGGGAUUAGCUUGUUGGUGAGGUAACGGCUCACCAAGGCGACGAUCCCUAGCUGGUCUGAGAGGAUGACCAGCCACACUGGAACUGAGACACGGUCCAGACUCCUACGGGAGGCAGCAGUGGGGAAUAUUGCACAAUGGGCGCAAGCCUGAUGCAGCCAUGCCGCGUGUAUGAAGAAGGCCUUCGGGUUGUAAAGUACUUUCAGCGGGGAGGAAGGGGUUAAGGUUAAUAACCUUAGCCAUUGACGUUACCCGCAGAAGAAGCACCGGCUAACUCCGUGCCAGCAGCCGCCGCCG